GGGACUGAGACACGGCCCAGACUCCUACGGGAGGCAGCAGUGGGGAAUUUUGAUAAUGGGGGCAACCCUUAUCCAGCCAUUCCGCGUGAGUGAAGAAGGCCUUCUGGGUUGUGGUAAAGCUUCUUUGUCCGGAGCGAAACGGAAGUGGUGAAUAUCCACUUCUACCGACGGUACCUGAAGAAUAAGCACCGACUAACUACGUGCCAGCAGCCGCGGAUACGUAGGGUGCGAGCGUUAAUCGGAAUUACUGGGCGUAAAGCGUGCGCAGGCGGUUUUGUAAGCUGAAGUCGUGAAAUCCCGGGCUUAACUCCUCGAAUGGCGAUUGGGACCGCAAGGCUUGAGUAUGGCAGAGGAGACUUUGGAAUUCCCCGUGUAGCAGUGAAAUGCGUAGAUAUCAGGAGGAAUACCGAUGGCGAAGGCAGGUCUCUGGGCUGAUACUGACGCUCAUGCACGAAAGCGUGGGGAGCAAACAGGAUUAGAUAAUUCCGUAAAUUCACGCUCCUAAACGAUGUCGACUGGUUGUUGGGGGUUUGACACCUUCAGUAACGAAGCUAACGCGUGAAGUCGACCGCCCGUGAGUACGGCCGCAAGGUUAAACCCAAAGGAAUUGACGGGACCCGCACAAGCGGUGGAUUACGUGGAUUUAAUUGAUGCAACGCGAAAAACCUUACCUACCCUUGACACUCCCAGGAAGUCCUGGAGAGAUCCGGGUGUGCCCGAAAGGGAACGGGAACACAGGUGAUGUAAUGCGGCUGCCGUCAGCUCGUGUCGUGAGACGCUGGGUUAAGUCCCCAACGAACGCAACCCUUGCCAUUAGUUGCUACAUUCAGUUGGGCACUCCAUUGACUGCCGCGACAAACCGGAGGAAGGUGGGGAUGACGUCAAGUCCUCAUGGCCCGCCCGGGUAGGGCUUCACACGUAAUACAAUGGUCGGUACAGAGGGUUGCCAAAGCGCGAGCUGGGAGCCAAUCCCAGAAAGCCGAUCGUAGUCGGAUUGCAGUCUGCAACUCGACUGCAUGAAGUCGGAAUCGCUAGUAAUCGCGGAUCAGCAUGUCGCGGUGAAUACGUUCCCGGGGUCUUGUACACACCGCCCGUCACACCAUGGGAGCGGGUUUCACCAGAAGCCGGUAGCCUAACCGCAAGGAUGGCGCCGAACACGGUGAGAUUCGUGACUGGGGUGAAGUCGUAACAAGGUAGCCGUAUCGGAAGGUGCGGCUGGAUCACCUCCUUU
Molecule: ribosomal RNA, 1231 nt
Filed under: Betaproteobacteria bacterium
Lineage: Bacteria; Pseudomonadati; Pseudomonadota; Betaproteobacteria
Description: bacterial SSU rRNA
Rfam family: Bacterial small subunit ribosomal RNA
Source: RNAcentral